Eufriesea mexicana is the source of this 2479-nucleotide RNA transcript. It is a transcript of the gene named ADP-ribosylation factor-binding protein Gga, with no coding region annotated. Lineage: Eukaryota; Metazoa; Arthropoda; Insecta; Hymenoptera; Apidae. The record is from RefSeq and is a predicted model, not a curated record. The transcript is spliced from 12 exons.
GUGAAUUAUAUCACAAACAGCUGUUUGUGUCUGAGAAUUUUGCAGACGUGAAGAAAAUCCUUUCCUCCUUCCCCCCUCUUUUUUAAUGCUUUUCUCUUGACUAUGCUACAAAAAUUAGAAUAAACUGGAUAGUAAUUAUAGAUAUAGAAUCUUAACGAGGUGUAUAUUAAAUUUUAAGGGUAUUAUGGUUUGCGAGGAAAGAAUCAAAAUGGAAUCUUUGAAACUUUUGUUCGAGUUAGCUGUCAAAUAAACACAUGUAACCUAAAACGUGUGAAUCUAAAGAAAUUGACGUUAAAAUUAAAGAAAUGGAUGUUGUAACAACAAGCCUAGAGGCCCUGAUACAAAGGGUAACGAAUCCACAAAAUCAAAAACCUGAUAUAGCCGCAACUGAGGCGUUCUGUGUAAUGCUUACCAAAGAAUCAGAAGGUAUUCAAAUCGGUACUAAAUUGUUAGCAUUACGUAUUCAGUCAUCUAACGAGACUACAGCACUUCAAGCUCUUACUUUACUGGACACAUGUAUGAGGCGAUGUGGGUCAUCUUUUCAUUCAGAGGUUGGUAAAUUUCGUUUUUUGAACGAAAUGAUUCGUCUAGUUUCACCAAAGUAUCUAGGUGGCAAAACGCCGGUCAUGGUGCGUCAAAAAGUAUUACAAUUGCUACAUACGUGGACAAGAGAGUACCCAAAAGAAUUAAAAAUUAAAGAAGCUUAUGAAAUGUUGAAAAAGCAAGGAGUUAUCAAUGAUGAUUCUGUGUCUGUAAAUAAUAUUCAAGAGGAAGGUUUGAAGGUGCUGAAAACUAAAAGUACAAUAUUCUAUGAUGAGGAGAAAUCCAAAUUAUUACAAAAAUUACUCCAGAGCAAAAAUCCUGAUGAUUUGCAUGCUGCAAAUAGAUUAAUUAAAACUAUGGUGCAAGAGGAUGAAAGAAGAGUACAAUUAAAUUCUCAUAGGAUAAUGGAAUUAGAAUCUGUUCAUAACAAUGCAAAGUUAUUAUCAGAAAUGUUAGACUCAUAUAAUUCUAAUGAAACCAAUGCGGAAGAUCUCGAAUUAAUGAAAGAAUUAUAUGAAGCUUGUGAAAGAUUAAAGCCGAUUGUGUUGAGGUUAGCAAAUGAAACCCAAGAUAAUGGUGAUGUACUUGCUGCAAACGAUGAAUUGGAACAAGUAUUUGAGAAGUACACUGCAAUUAUAGUUCAUGGUAAAUGCAUAAAACCUAAGACAGACUCCAACAUCAAUCAGUAUUUAUUAGAUUUAUCUUCUCCAAUGGAGAAUAUUCCCCUCGAAAGUGAUGGUAUAAAUGCAAGUUACAGUGUAAUGACAGGAAAUCAUCAGUCAGACAUGGAUGUUUUAGGAGAUAUCUUUAAUUCAUUAGGAAAGUCUGAAAAUUCAGAAAUUUCUUUGAUUCCUAAUGCAAAUCUCUUAAUGACCGAUUCAGUUAUGCAGCCACUCAAUGUGUUACAUAAAAAUAAGAAAGAUGAAUUAAUCCACACAUCUGAAAAGAAAAUUGUCAGUAAAGCAAAAUCAUUGGAGGAACUGAACGAAUUGGGAGAAUCUUUACUUAAACAAAGUUUAUCAGGCAUAGCAUCAAAUUCUCGUGUAAAACCAGGAAGUAAACAAAGUAUAAAUCGUCCACCAAAUAACGAACAUCUAGCAGAACGUUAUGCUUCAACAACCUUCCCCCGCAGUGGUUGUUCUUCGCAUUUUUCUGACUUGUCGGAGGUGAUAAGUAUGAAAAACAAUAAAAUUUCUGAUAUUCAUUUUGAAUCAAGCCAUAAUUUUCCGUCAUAUGAUGGCACAAACACUCAAACCAUUAUUGAAGAAAAGGUAGAUGGAAACCGAUGUGAUAAUCGAUUAGGCACAUGGGAUGCUGCUUCAAUAACACCUUCAGUAGAAAAUUCCAUUAACCUAGAAGCUCAAAUUAAGCCGUUAACAGAUAUCAAUAUUAAUCUUCAAGAUAUUAAACCAGGCACUAAUCCACCUAUGACAGUAAUCGAAGAAAAGAAUGGAAUAUCUGUUGUGCUUCAUUUUGCUCGAGAUAAUCCAAGAGAAGAUGUGUUUGUUGUAGUGAUUACAACAAUGAGUAGGAAUUUGAAACCACUUACUAAUUACCUGUUUCGAGCAGUGGUAUCAAAAAAAUGUAAAUGUAGGCUUCAACCACCUUCUGGAACAGGUUUACCUGGUCAUAAUCCAUUUUUACCCCCAUCAGCAAUUACUCAAAUUAUGCUAAUUGCAAACCCUACUAAGGAAACGGUAUCAUUAAAAUUCAUGUUAAGUUAUACAAUGGACGAUGAAACAUUUACAGAAAUGGGUGAAGUAGAAAAGUUGCCUUUAAUUUAAAGUACUUAAAGCAUACUUAUAAGGAGUAAACAUAAAAAUGCAGAUUCUAAUAACUAAAAGGAAAAUAUAUUGCUUUUCCAAAAUUGGUAACGGAAAGUACUUCAUCGCGAAAUGCGAGAGCGGUAACAGCUUUUUGAUGACCCUGAUACUCU